This 210-nucleotide ribosomal RNA is filed under the name uncultured bacterium. Its description in RNAcentral is "partial 16S ribosomal RNA". It matches the Rfam family "Bacterial small subunit ribosomal RNA", at positions 524 to 732 of the family's 1533-position model. The record is from RNAcentral.
UACGGAGGGUGCGAGCGUUGUCCGGAAUCACUGGGCGUAAAGGGCGCGUAGGCGGCUUCUCAAGCGUGUGGUGAAAGUCCGGGGCUCAACCCCGGAUCGGCCGUGCGGACUGGGGAGCUCGGAGUUCUGUAGAGGCGGGUGGAAUUCCGGGUGUAGCGGUGGAAUGCGUAGAGAUCCGGAAGAACACCGGUGGCGAAGGCGGCCCGCUGG